This is a non-coding RNA of Drosophila melanogaster (fruit fly), 1087 nucleotides long. NCBI's taxonomy places the organism in Eukaryota, Metazoa, Arthropoda, Insecta, Diptera, Drosophilidae. The record is from Ensembl.
CUAUAUAAGUACUAAACAAGACUUAAAAUUCCUCACCCGACUAUUCUUGUACUUGAAGAAAAUCAAUUUACCAUCCUACAACUCCCUAUGACCGCAAGAACAAUCGGUUAACAUUUUGUGAACCGCAUGCCAGGAAUUUUUAUAGAGUAAAGGAGUGUCUGUUGAAUCCUUUUUACCCUCCGACAAAUCAAUUCCACAAAUCAACAUAAUCAACUUCUCGCCAAUAAAAUGGGUUUGGAGCAGUGCUGAAUAAGAGAGAAAGCUGAAAUAAGUGCCGUAAAAAAUGUAAAAACUUUUUUAUAGUUGCUGCAUAAAAAACGUAAAAUAAAAACCCAACCGAAGAAAUCUACGAAAGAAUGCAUAACAAAAGAAAAUCACCUUCGUGGGCGUGCAGGUGAGUGGGCGGGGUACCAAAAAUGAUAUCCCCGCGAUGAUAACCCCGAGAAAUCAGAGGAAAAAUCCAUGAUCUAAUUUGCUAAACACUCGAGCAAAAUCAGCGGGGCUCGCCAAAUCACUUACAUAUACUCGUGUACCUGCAAAACUCACUCACAUUCUCAAAGGCAAAACAAAGAAAAGAAUUGUUUUCGCUUAAAAGAACAUUCAAAUGGAAAUGUUCUGCUUGGCUCAACACAAACAACAAGUGCAGGCGCACACACAAACUGCAUUUAUUUAGUUAGCAAACAAAAUAGAAAAAAAAAGUGAAAAGGAGCAAAGUGGGAUCCAAGGGAAGAAACGCAUCGCAUCGAAAGAGUGGCAUUUGAGUACCCCAGACAGUCAGACAAUGCAUAUAUAUGUAUGUACCACCCAUAUCUAUAGGUAUACGUAUAAAACUGAAGUGCGGCGGGGCAUGUGCAGCACACGAACAACGAAAAAGACGGCAGGAAAAAAUUACAAGGAAGCAGCACCCAGAAGAGCGAGUUUCAAGACGAGAGUGAUGAAAGGAUACCCUAUUCUUAAGGAUAAUAAUUAUGAAGGAAUGCCUUAAUAUGCUUACUCUAGAUUAUCCUUAUCAAUACAGUUUAGCUACUAUCAAGAGUUCGCUCUAAUUGGUAAAUGGAUAAAAACAAAUGGUAUAUUUGGCAAACAC